RNAcentral lists this ribosomal RNA (507 nucleotides) under Cerithium munitum. RNAcentral's name for it is "partial 16S ribosomal RNA". It matches the Rfam family "Bacterial large subunit ribosomal RNA", at positions 1816 to 2600 of the family's 2925-position model. Lineage: Eukaryota; Metazoa; Mollusca; Gastropoda; Cerithiidae. The record is from RNAcentral.
GGCUCCUUGUCACACACACAUAAGGAGUUGGACCUGCCCGGUGAAAGAUUUUAACGGCCGCGGUACUCUGACCGUGCAAAGGUAGCAUAAUCACUUGCCUUAUAAUUGAAGGCUAGUAUGAAUGGUUUGACGAAAGCACUUCUGUCUCUCCCCUAUUUUACAAAAAUUAACAUUCAGGUGAAGAGGCCUGUUUAAAAUUAAAGGACGAGAAGACCCUGUCGAGCUUUAAGGAAACUAGGAAAAUUUUAUAUUUAUAAAUAUAAGACCUCUUUUACUUUUUGGUUGGGGCGACUAGGGAACAACAAAAGCUUCCCUUAUUUUAAAGACUUUUUCGUUAGGAUCCAGCAUUGUGCUGAUUGAAAGAAUUAGUUACCGCAGGGAUAACAGCAUAAUCCUUCUUGAGAGACCUAAUCGAAAGAAGGGGUUGUGACCUCGAUGUUGGACUAGGAUAUCCUAAGGGUGCAGAAGCCUUUGAGGGUUGGUCUGUUCGACCAUUAAAAUCCUACG